Molecule: long non-coding RNA, 367 nt
Organism: Humulus lupulus (European hop)
Lineage: Eukaryota; Viridiplantae; Streptophyta; Magnoliopsida; Rosales; Cannabaceae
Exons: 2
Source: RefSeq, a predicted model, not a curated record
UGAGAGCUCAGGACGAUUUGGUUUCACAUGGAAGAAUGAGAUUAUAAAUGGGAAGGCAGCUGUAAUUGGGUUCUUGCUGUAAUUGGGUUCUUGAUGAAAGCUCAGUUGGAUUUGGUUUCAGUCGUUGUUUUGCAUGGUAUAUUGAGAUGAUUUCUUUGGAGCAAUUCUUGACAACAUUUGUAGUUGAGGCUUUUAGAAUGGAAGAAUGUAUUUCACUAAUUUUUGUAUACAUGUCUUGUUUUAUAUUUAGUGAUAAAGGAAUUUGAAUUGGGCAUAAAUUAUGUUGUAAUAUGAUUUCUUAAGCCUAGAUUAGUAGACUAAAUAUUGUAAUUACAUUUGAGUAAUUAAUAAAAAUCUAUUUAUGCUA